Molecule: ribosomal RNA, 253 nt
Filed under: uncultured archaeon
Lineage: Archaea
Description: partial 16S ribosomal RNA
Rfam family: Archaeal small subunit ribosomal RNA
Source: RNAcentral
CACCCGCGCCACAAGUGGGAGCCUCGUUUAUUGGGUCUAAAGCGUCCGUAGCAUGUUUUGUAAAUCCUCUGUGAAAUCGUUUGGCUCAACCAAACGGCGUGCAGGGGACACUGCAGAACUUGGAACCGGGAGGAGUUAGGAGUAUUCUGGGGGGAGCGGUAAAAUGCUAUAAUCCUCAGAGGACUACCUGUGGCGAAGGCGCCUAACCAUAACGGAUUCGACUGUGAGGGACGAAAGCUAGGGGAGCGAUCCG